UGGGUACUCGUUAAUCUCUACAGAGGUA
Molecule: non-coding RNA, 28 nt
Filed under: Mus musculus (house mouse)
Lineage: Eukaryota; Metazoa; Chordata; Mammalia; Rodentia; Muridae
Source: RNAcentral